AUUUUUUCCUCAACAGUUGUCUUUCACGAGUGGUAAUUUUUCCUCCCUGCUAUAGCAGAAAUCCAAGAAAGGCAAAAUCGAAAAAGAAAAAUGGAACAAUAAAAAACCAAGUAGGUACAAAAAAUAAAGUAAACAAAUAUCUAAAAGUUAGCUAAUCAUCAAUUAUUCACCAUCUUAGACCAUAUUAAAAGUUUUUCUUGGAACUAAAAAUAAAAAAUCAAUGAUAAAACUGAAAUGAAACAAAUAGAUUAAUCACGGAAAGAAAGGGGAAGAAAAAUUACCAUAUCUGUAUUCUACAAAUUCGCAUAGAUAGUGGAGACGAAAUAUUGAACUCCCCUUUCCUCGCUGUUUCAAAAAAAGACACGAAAGAGGAGGGAAAAAUUGGUUAUUUUUAGCCAAGGAAAUAGCAGAAAAAUGGCAGAAAAAUAGAAAAAAUAGCUAUAAUCACUCGAGGAAGGGAGGUAGGGAGAUGAAGAAGAACAAGAGGGAGAAAUGGGAGAAAUCGAUACAGGGUGGGAAGGAAGAUUACCAGCCCCUUUUCCAUGUCAAGAAAUGACGUUAUUAAUUAGUUAUUUCUCCUCUGGACUCACGUUUAAUUAACAAAUCAUCCAGCAACUCUAUCAGAAGAAAAAAAUCUGGCCCCUCCAAUUAAGAUUAUAACCUCUUUCAAGUACAAUCAAAUGGCAGAAAUUCAGAGGAGACCUAUAAGGUCUCAUGAAGAAGGAAUUUUGUCCAAGGGAUAAUAGCAAUAGG
This 753-nucleotide long non-coding RNA is filed under the name Coffea arabica (coffee). RNAcentral's name for it is "long non-coding RNA (CARA_LNC000653)". Lineage: Eukaryota; Viridiplantae; Streptophyta; Magnoliopsida; Gentianales; Rubiaceae. The record is from RNAcentral.